AUCUCUGUAGAGUCUGCAUAUCAAUAAGCGGAGGAAAAGAAACUAACUAGGAUUCCCUCAGUAACGGCGAGUGAAGCGGGAAGAGCUCAAAUUUGAAAUCUUCAAGGUUCUACCUUGACGAAUUGUAGUUUAAAGAAGUGUUUUCUGUUGGAGUUUUGGUAAAAGUUCUUUGGAAUAGGACAUCAUAGAGGGUGAGAAUCCCGUAUUUGACCAUUAUUUCCAACUUUGUGAUACACUUUCAAAGAGUCGGAUUGUUUGGGAAUGCAGUCCAAAAUGGGUGGUAAAUUUCAUCUAAAGCUAAAUACUGGCGAGAGACCGAUAGCGAACAAGUACCGUGAGGGAAAGAUGAAAAGAACUUUGAAAAGAGAGUUAAACAGUACGUGAAAUUGUCAAAAGGGAAGCGUUUGACACCAGUGUUGUUUCCUCGAAAAUCAAUUAAAAAAGGCAGGAUUUUGUGUUGUAUUGACUUUAUCAGCUUUCUGCACUCUUUUCUUGUCUUUUUUAAUGCACUUUUCGUUUAACAAGUCAACAUCAAUUUCUUUUGUUGUAAAAGGGUCAUUGGAAGGUGGCUUUCUUUUCGGAGAAAGUGUUUAUAGCCUUUGGCCUCUGCAAUCGGAGAGAUUGAGGUCUGCAGCGUAGAUCCUUCGGGGUUAGAUACAUUUGUGCUAAGUUAUAGCCUUUCAUAGACAACUUGUUGACUAUGAUCAGUCAUGUAGCUUACUCGCUUAUGCUAUUUUACCUACGCUUAGGAUGUUGACGAUCAGCUGAGCGCG
This 773-nucleotide ribosomal RNA is filed under the name uncultured Neocallimastigales. RNAcentral's name for it is "partial large subunit ribosomal RNA". It matches the Rfam family "Eukaryotic large subunit ribosomal RNA", at positions 24 to 627 of the family's 3401-position model. The record is from RNAcentral. Lineage: Eukaryota; Fungi; Neocallimastigomycota; Neocallimastigomycetes; Neocallimastigales.